AUAGGUUACAAUUCAAGUAUAAGUGAUCAUUACAUUACAAUUCAUGGUCGGUUCAUAUAUUAGCUCAAAAGACAAUAAUUAAAUAGUUCAGCAAUCUAAUUUAUUCAAAAUCAAUCAAGGUCUAAGCCCAUAAUAGAAAUUCUAGGUAGAUCGAUGACAGAUUGUGCUGCAAUGCUGUCGAAAUGCCACCGCUCCUCGUGGAAGAAGGCAUUGUGAAGGAAAGGAGAGAACAAGACCCACAUACACAUCAAUAAGUCCGUUAUAGUCGAAACAGAUCUCAUUCUAGGCACCAAACACACAAGGAAAGUUGUUGGAACUUUGAGAAAAACAUGGUUGCAUCUCAUUGGCAACAAGAGACAAAGGAUGGCGGUGCUGGGCUCUUUAAUGUUCCACUUGCACGUUGCACCUUCCAGGCCAACCUUCUAGAUUGUACUCCAAGCCACGCAAGAUUAUACAGGCACACACCGACUUAACUGCUUCCAAAACCACUCUCCACCAAGAGGAGGAAAAACUGGACAAAAAAA
This 524-nucleotide unclassified non-coding RNA is filed under the name Hevea brasiliensis (rubber tree). The record is from RNAcentral. Lineage: Eukaryota; Viridiplantae; Streptophyta; Magnoliopsida; Malpighiales; Euphorbiaceae.